GGGCCCAUAGCUCAGGUGGUUAGAGCAGCUGACUCAUAAUCAGCCGGUUCCAGGUUCGAGUCCUGGUGGGCCCACCA
RNAcentral lists this transfer RNA (77 nucleotides) under Planctomycetes bacterium ADurb.Bin069. Its description in RNAcentral is "tRNA-Met". It matches the Rfam family "tRNA". Rfam says of the family: Transfer RNA (tRNA) molecules are approximately 80 nucleotides in length. Their secondary structure includes four short double-helical elements and three loops (D, anti-codon, and T loops). RNAcentral also lists the same sequence under 1 other name. The record is from RNAcentral. Lineage: Bacteria; Pseudomonadati; Planctomycetota.